AGUGGCGAACGGGUGAGUAAUACAUAAGCAACCUACCCACGAAGACUGGGAUAAUCUCUGGAAACGGGGACUAAUACCGGAUAGGUAAUCGGAAGGCAUCUUCUGGUUAUUAAAGGUUAAAAAACACUGGUGGAUGGGCUUAUGGCGCAUUAGUUAGUUGGUGAGGUAACGGCCCACCAAGACGAUGAUGCGUAGCCGGCCUGAGAGGGUGAACGGCCACAUUGGGACUGAGACACGGCCCAG
Molecule: ribosomal RNA, 243 nt
Filed under: uncultured bacterium
Lineage: Bacteria
Description: partial 16S ribosomal RNA
Rfam family: Bacterial small subunit ribosomal RNA
Source: RNAcentral